Molecule: small RNA, 28 nt
Filed under: Bombyx mori (domestic silkworm)
Lineage: Eukaryota; Metazoa; Arthropoda; Insecta; Lepidoptera; Bombycidae
Description: ovarian small RNA-32992
Source: RNAcentral
UGAUUACCUUCGCGUUUCGAACUUUGUU